GGUACUGUGGCUUAGUUGAUUAAAGCACUUCUCUUGUAAGCAGUGCAUCCUGGGUUUCAGUCCCAGCAAUACCU
RNAcentral lists this transfer RNA (74 nucleotides) under Alligator mississippiensis (American alligator). It matches the Rfam family "tRNA". From Rfam's summary of the family: Transfer RNA (tRNA) molecules are approximately 80 nucleotides in length. Their secondary structure includes four short double-helical elements and three loops (D, anti-codon, and T loops). Further hydrogen bonds mediate the characteristic L-shaped molecular structure. tRNAs have two regions of fundamental functional importance: the anti-codon, which is responsible for specific mRNA codon recognition, and the 3' end, to which the tRNAs corresponding amino acid is attached (by aminoacyl-tRNA synthetases). tRNAs cope with the degeneracy of the genetic code in two manners: having more than one tRNA (with a specific anti-codon) for a particular amino acid; and 'wobble' base-pairing, i.e. permitting non-standard base-pairing at the 3rd anti-codon position. RNAcentral also lists the same sequence under 1 other name. The record is from Rfam by way of RNAcentral. Lineage: Eukaryota; Metazoa; Chordata; Crocodylia; Alligatoridae.